This 513-nucleotide long non-coding RNA is filed under the name Setaria italica (foxtail millet). RNAcentral describes it as "long non-coding RNA (SITA_LNC002833)". Lineage: Eukaryota; Viridiplantae; Streptophyta; Magnoliopsida; Poales; Poaceae. The record is from RNAcentral.
ACAAGCCGCCGCCCAGCGACAUGCUGAGGUACCACGACGGCGCCGUGCUGAGCGGCGACAUCUCCGUCUCCGUCCUCUGGUACGGCCGCUUCACGCCGGCGCAGAAGGCCAUCGUCACCGACUUCCUCCUCUCCCUCUCCGCCGCGGCGCAGGGGCCGUCCGUCGCCCAGUGGUGGAGCAACAUCAACCGGCUCUACCUCUCCAAGGCGGCGGCCGCCAGCAAGAACGGCGCCCACGGCGGCGGCGCCAGGAUCGCGCGGGUGGUCCUGGCCGGGCAGGUCUCGGACGAGGGUUGCUCGCUGGGGAAGAGCCUGAAGAUGUCCCAGCUCCCGGCGCUGGCGGCGAGGGCGCGCCCGGCGAAGGUGGGCGGCGGCGUCGCGCUGGUGCUCACGGCGCAGGACGUGGCGGUGGAGGGCUUCUGCGCGAGCCGGUGCGGGCACCACGGCUCGUACGGCGGCGGCGGCGCGCGCGCGGCGUACGCGUGGGUGGGGAACCCGGCGACGCAGUGCCCCG